This 254-nucleotide ribosomal RNA is filed under the name uncultured bacterium. RNAcentral describes it as "partial 16S ribosomal RNA". It matches the Rfam family "Bacterial small subunit ribosomal RNA", at positions 57 to 305 of the family's 1533-position model. The record is from RNAcentral.
GCAAGUCGAACGAAGCUGAAAGUGCUUGCACUUUUAGACUGAGUGGCGGACGGGUGAGUAACGCGUGGGCAACCUGCCUUACACAGGGGGACAACACCGGGAAACUGGUGCUAAUACCACAUGACAUUGACUUUCGGCAUCGGAAGUUAAUUAAAGGAGUAAUCUGGUGUAAGAUGGGCCCGCGUACGAUUAGCUAGUUGGUAAGGUAAUGGCUUACCAAGGCAACGAUCGUUAGCCGAACUGAGAGGUUGAUC